RNAcentral lists this long non-coding RNA (201 nucleotides) under Linum usitatissimum (flax). RNAcentral describes it as "long non-coding RNA (LUSI_LNC005576)". The record is from RNAcentral. Lineage: Eukaryota; Viridiplantae; Streptophyta; Magnoliopsida; Malpighiales; Linaceae.
CUAGAUGUUCAAAUGUGAAUCAAUCAAUACCGAAUAUCAAGAUUGACAGAUAAAAAUAAACAUGACCUAAUAUUAAUUGAAAUUAAAUCAAGUGGUAAAUAAGAUUUUAAGUUCUUAAUUUAAAUCAAUUUCAAAAAAAAAAAAAUUAAACAGUUCAAAUUCAAACUCAUAAACGCGCUGUCGAGAUCAAUUUUCAUAUAU